This 676-nucleotide long non-coding RNA is filed under the name Setaria viridis. RNAcentral describes it as "long non-coding RNA (SVIR_LNC001668)". Lineage: Eukaryota; Viridiplantae; Streptophyta; Magnoliopsida; Poales; Poaceae. The record is from RNAcentral.
UCGACUACUCGAACGGCGCGUGGUAAACUAAAUUAAAAGUUUGCUGAUUGCCAGUUGUAGCGGUAGUCAAAGGUGCGUGACAACUAACAACCGGCAUGCCGACGCAACUGCAUAUAAUUGUCGCUCGCUCGGCCUCAUCAUGAGUCGAGCUUGUGGAUAGGCACGCACGGCCCGCCUACUACCAGAGAACGGACCUUCCAUUCUAGUACUUUUAUCCCAGAUAACUUUAAAUUUGGGAUUAAAAUAUCUUUAGUCCCAGCCAAAAAUAAGGCACCGAAGGCUACCGACAGGAGGGGCUUUAAUCCCGGUUGUAAAGACUGACCAGGACUAAAGCUUCCCUUUAAUCUCGGUUGUAACAGCUAAAAGAUCAGGCACUAAUGCUCCCCUUUUGUCUCGGUUGGUAAUUCCAACCAAAACAAAAGAUUUAGUCCCGGUUGAAAUUCCAAUUUAUCCCGGUUGGAAUUAUUAACCGGAACAAAAGGGGCCUUUCCACACGGCCCCCUCUCUCUACACCUUCCUUAUCUUCUUCCAGACAGCGCUCUCCUCCUCUUCACCUUAUCUCUGCGCUCUCCUUCUUUCCAGCGCUUCCUCUCUCCCUCCUCCCUCUCCUCCUCUUUGCACCUCCCCUCCUCCCUCUCCUCCUCUCCUCCCACUCUGCACAACCGCCGCCCCCUCC